AAUACCGCAUACGUCCUACGGGAGAAAGCAGGGGACCUUCGGGCCUUGCGCUAUCAGAUGAGCCUAGGUCGGAUUAGCUAGUUGGUGAGGUAAUGGCUCACCAAGGCUACGAUCCGUAACUGGUCUGAGAGGAAGAUCAGUCACACUGGAAUUGAGACACGGUCCAGACUCCUACGGGAGGCAGCAGUGGGGAAUAUUGGACAAUGGGCGAAAGCCUGAUCCAGCCAGGCGGCGUGUGUGAAGAAGGUCUUCGGA
Molecule: ribosomal RNA, 255 nt
Filed under: uncultured bacterium
Lineage: Bacteria
Description: partial 16S ribosomal RNA
Rfam family: Bacterial small subunit ribosomal RNA
Source: RNAcentral